RNAcentral lists this long non-coding RNA (419 nucleotides) under Salvia miltiorrhiza (redroot sage). RNAcentral's name for it is "long non-coding RNA (SMIL_LNC004445)". The record is from RNAcentral. Lineage: Eukaryota; Viridiplantae; Streptophyta; Magnoliopsida; Lamiales; Lamiaceae.
UUACAUUUUUCUGAUAUAAUGCCCUUAAAUUUGAAUCAAAUCAGUUCAGUUCCUUUCGAUUCCUAAGGGCCCGUUUGAUAUGGGUUUAAAAGCAGGAUAAGUUAAAUUAAUAUGAAUUUAUGCAGUGUUUAAUAUUAUGUGCUAUUAAUAUGGUAACUCCAGGUUUAUCCCAAGAUCCUAGCUUAUUUUGUGAGAUUAACCCACACUAAUUAUACCACCCUCCCCAUGGGAUAAAUUUAAUACCGAGAUGUUAAAAUUAAAAAUUGAUACCCUUUUCACGCUAAACGAUGCUGUGAGGAUACCAAUGCCUCCAUCUUAUUUUCAGAUUUGAGGACACGAAUGUCUUUUGGUAAAAUAUGUGAGGAUAAUUUAGGUAUUUGAUAUGUUAAUCCAACCUAUUCCAAUGGAUACCAAACACU